Molecule: ribosomal RNA, 1302 nt
Filed under: Nocardia sp.
Lineage: Bacteria; Bacillati; Actinomycetota; Actinomycetes; Mycobacteriales; Nocardiaceae
Description: bacterial SSU rRNA
Rfam family: Bacterial small subunit ribosomal RNA
Source: RNAcentral
CGGCGAACGGGUGAGUAACACGUGGGUGAUCUGCCUCGCACUCUGGGAUAAGCCUGGGAAACUGGGUCUAAUACCGGAUAUGAGCAUGGUCUGCAUGGACUGUGUUGGAAAGGUUUACUGGUGCGAGAUGGGCCCGCGGCCUAUCAGCUUGUUGGUGGGGUAACGGCCUACCAAGGCGACGACGGGUAGCCGGCCUGAGAGGGCGACCGGCCACACUGGGACUGAGACACGGCCCAGACUCCUACGGGAGGCAGCAGUGGGGAAUAUUGCACAAUGGGCGAAAGCCUGAUGCAGCGACGCCGCGUGAGGGAUGACGGCCUUCGGGUUGUAAACCUCUUUCGACAGGGACGAAGCGCAAGUGACGGUACCUGUAGAAGAAGCACCGGCCAACUACGUGCCAGCAGCCGCGGUAAUACGUAGGGUGCGAGCGUUGUCCGGAAUUACUGGGCGUAAAGAGCUUGUAGGCGGUCUGUCGCGUCGAUUGUGAAACCUCACAGCUCAACUGUGAGCCUGCAGUCGAUACGGGCAGACUAGAGUACUUCAGGGGAGACUGGAAUUCCUGGUGUAGCGGUGAAAUGCGCAGAUAUCAGGAGGAACACCGGUGGCGAAGGCGGGUCUCUGGGAAGUAACUGACGCUGAGAAGCGAAAGCGUGGGUAGCGAACAGGAUUAGAUACCCUGGUAGUCCACGCCGUAAACGGUGGGUACUAGGUGUGGGUUUCCUUCCACGGGAUCCGUGCCGUAGCUAACGCAUUAAGUACCCCGCCUGGGGAGUACGGCCGCAAGGCUAAAACUCAAAGGAAUUGACGGGGGCCCGCACAAGCGGCGGAGCAUGUGGAUUAAUUCGAUGCAACGCGAAGAACCUUACCUGGGUUUGACAUACACCGGAAAGCCGUAGAGAUACGGCCCCCCUUGUGGUCGGUGUACAGGUGGUGCAUGGCUGUCGUCAGCUCGUGUCGUGAGAUGUUGGGUUAAGUCCCGCAACGAGCGCAACCCUUAUCUUAUGUUGCCAGCGCGUAAUGGCGGGGACUCCGUGAGAGACUGCCGGGGUCAACUCGGAGGAAGGUGGGGACGACGUCAAGUCAUCAUGCCCCUUAUGUCCAGGGCUUCACACAUGCUACAAUGGCCGGUACAGAGGGCUGCGAUACCGUGAGGUGGAGCGAAUCCCUUAAAGCCGGUCUCAGUUCGGAUCGGGGUCUGCAACUCGACCCCGUGAAGUUGGAGUCGCUAGUAAUCGCAGAUCAGCAACGCUGCGGUGAAUACGUUCGCCGGGCCUUGUACACACCGCCCGUCACGUCAUGAAA